CCUACGGGAGGCAGCAGUGAGGAAUAUUGGUCAAUGGUCGGGCGACUGAACCAGCCAAGCCGCGUGAGGGAUGAAGGUACAGAGUAUCGUAAACCUCUUUUGUCAGGGAACAAAGUCGGGGACGUGUCCCCGGAUGAGUGUACCUGAAGAGAAAGAAUCGGCUAACUCCGUGCCAGCAGCCGCGGUAAUACGGAGGAUGCGAGCGUUAUCCGGAUUUAUUUGGUUUAAAGGGUGCGCAGGCGGUCUGUUAAGUCAGCGGUGACAGCCCGGGGCUCAACCCCGGCCCGCCGUUGAAACUGGCAGUCUCGAGUUGGAGAGAAGUAUGCGGAAUGCGCGGUGUAGCGGUGAAAUGCAUAGAUAUCGCGCAGAACUCCGAUUGCGAAGGCAGCAUGCCGGCUCCACACUGACGCUGAGGCACGAAAGCGUGGGUAUCGAACAGGAUUAGAUACCCUUGUAGUC
This 459-nucleotide ribosomal RNA is filed under the name uncultured bacterium. RNAcentral describes it as "partial 16S ribosomal RNA". It matches the Rfam family "Bacterial small subunit ribosomal RNA", at positions 338 to 795 of the family's 1533-position model. The record is from RNAcentral.